Molecule: ribosomal RNA, 497 nt
Filed under: uncultured bacterium
Lineage: Bacteria
Description: partial 16S ribosomal RNA
Rfam family: Bacterial small subunit ribosomal RNA
Source: RNAcentral
GAUGAACGCUGGCGGCGUGCCUAAUACAUGCAAGUCGAGCGAACAGACGAGGAGCUUGCUCCUCUGACGUUAGCGGCGGACGGGUGAGUAACACGUGGAUAACCUACCUAUAAGACUGGGAUAACUUCGGGAAACCGGAGCUAAUACCGGAUAAUAUAUUGAACCGCAUGGUUCAAUAGUGAAAGACGGUUUUGCUGUCACUUAUAGAUGGAUCCGCGCCGCAUUAGCUAGUUGGUAAGGUAACGGCUUACCAAGGCAACGAUGCGUAGCCGACCCGAGAGGGGGGUCCGCCCCCCUGGAACUUGGACACGGGCCCGACCCCUACGGGAGGCCGCCGUGUGGAAUUUUGCCCAAUGGGCGCAAACCUUACCGAGCCAACCCGCGUGGGUGAAGAAGGUCUUCCGGUUGUAAAGCCCUUUUUUUGGGGAAGAAAAGAAUUUGGAUAUAACCACGCCGUUCUGACGGUACCCAAAGAAGAAGCCCCGGCUAACUUCGUG